GACGAACGCUGGCGGCGUGCUUAACACAUGCAAGUCGAACGAUGAAGAAAAGAAUUGCAGCUUCGGCAGAAAUUCAUUUCGGAUUAGUGGCAGACGGGUGAGUAACGCGUGAGCAACCUACCUCUUACAAAGGGAUAGCCUCGGGAAACCGGGAUUAAUACCAUAUAACAUUGCGACGAAGCAUUUCGAUGCAAUCAAAGCUACGGCGGUAAGAGAUGGGCUCGCGUCCCAUUAACCAGAUGGUGAGGUAACGGCUCACCAUAGUAACGAUGGGUAACCGGCCUGAGAGGGUGAGCGGUCACACUGGAACUGAGACACGGUCCAGACUCCUACGGGAGGCAGCAGUGGGGAAUAUUGCACAAUGGAGGGAACUCUGAUGCAGCGACGCCGCGUGAGUGAUGAAGGAAUUCGUUUCGUAAAACUCUGUUCUAUGGGAAGAAAAGGACUGUACCAUAGGAGAAAGCUCCGGCUAAAUACGUGC
Molecule: ribosomal RNA, 481 nt
Filed under: uncultured bacterium
Lineage: Bacteria
Description: partial 16S ribosomal RNA
Rfam family: Bacterial small subunit ribosomal RNA
Source: RNAcentral